This is a non-coding RNA of Pelobates cultripes (western spadefoot toad), 358 nucleotides long. Lineage: Eukaryota; Metazoa; Chordata; Amphibia; Anura; Pelobatidae. The record is from the annotation of a GenBank genome assembly.
CAUCACAUUCACAUAAAACUUACAUUUUCAGAAUCAGCAUACUCAAAUAACAAAUACAAACAUACGUCAAAAUCAUACAAAUUGGUCCAGUGGGUCAAAAGUUAGUUGGAAAUCCCUUUGUGACCUCCUGCAAGCAUGGCUUGGGUGUGGUAAGCCAAUUACCUCCAGCAUACAGAAAAUAGCUCUAUUCACAACAACAGUAAAAACACAUAAAAAUACAUAAUUCCUAUUAUACUUAACCCCCACAUCCAACCUAUCCCCAGAUAGCUUAGAUCUGAGCGCUCACUAUAUCACAUACACAGUCAAAUCACCAUGGGGUUAAACCAUAGCAACAAGUUCCAACUGGUCUGGCAGUGAC